UGAUUAGUCUGUACGGUGAACUGGGUUUAGGACAAUGUGGACAUGAUUAGUCUGUACGGUGAACUGGGUUUAGGACAAUGUGGACAGCUUUAGUCUGUACGGUGAACUGGGUUUAGGACAAUGUGGACAGGAUUAGCCUGUACGGUGAACUGGGUUUAGGACAAUGUGGACAUGAUUAGUCUGUACGGUGAACUGGGUUUAGGACAAUGUGGACAGGAUUAGCCUGUACGGUGAACUGGGUUUAGGACAAUGUGGACAGGAUUAGUCUGUAUGGUGAACUGGGUUUAGGACAAUGUGGACCGGAUUAGCCUGUACAGUGAACUGGGUUUAGGACAAUGUGGAUAGGAUUAGUCUGUACGGUGAACUGGGUUUAGGACAAUGUGGACAGGAUUAGCCCGUACAGUGAACUGGUUUAGGACAAUGUGGACAGGAUUAGCCUGUACAGUGAACUGGUUUAGGACAAUGUGGACAUUAUGCACCAUUAUCAUGGUAACAUGGUAACUAAGUACCCUCUGCUAAUAUGUCUGUGUAUGACACAACAGGCCUGAUGAGCAAGUACAGAGAACUGUUAAUAUAGGUUACACUACAGACAUCAUGUUAAUAUAGGUUACACUACAGACAUCAUGUUAAUAUAGGUUACAGACAUCAUGUUAAUAUAGGUUACACUACAGACAUCAUGUUAAUAUAGGUUACACUACAGACAUCAUGUUAAUAUAGGUUACAGACAUCAUGUUAAUAUAGGUUACACUACAGACAUCAUGUUAAUAUAGGUUACAGACAUCAUGUUAAUAUAGGUUACACUACAGACAUCAUGUUAAUAUAGGUUACAGACAUCAUGUUAAUAUAGGUUACAGUACAGACAUCAUGUUAAUAUAGGUUACACUACAGACAUCAUGUUAAUAUAGGUUACACUACAGACAUCAUGUUAAUAUAGGUUACAGACAUCAUGUCAAUAUAGGUUACACUACAGACAUCAUGUUAAUAUAGGUUACACUACAGACAUCAUGUUAAUAUAGGUUACAGACAUCAUGUCAAUAUAGGUUACACUACAGACAUCAUGUUAAUAUAGGUUACACUACAGACAUCAUGUUAAUAUAGGUUACAGACAUCAUGUUAAUAUAGGUUACACUACAGACAUCAUGUUAAUAUAGGUUACAGACAACAUGUUAAUAUAGGUUACAGUACAGACAUCAUGUUAAUAUAGGAUACACUACCGACAUCAUGUUAAUAUAGGUUACACUACAGACAUCAUGUUAAUAUAGGUUACACUACAGACAUCAUGUUAAUAUAGGUUACAGACAUCAUGUUAAUAUAGGUUACAGACAUCAUGUUAAUAUAGGUUACCAUACAGACAUCAUGUUAAUAUAGGUUACACUACAGACAUCAUGUUAAUAUAGGUUACACUACAGAAAUGAUUUGAGGUAGUGCUGAUUGAGCUGUACAUUGUGUUAACAUUACUGUAGAACCUAUUGCAUUUUUCAAAGUCAGCCAGCCAACCACUCAGCCAGCUAGCCAUUCAGCCAUCCGGCCAGUCAGUCAGUCAGCCAGUCAAUCAGCCAUCCAGUCAGCCAGUCAGUCAGUCAGUCAACCAGUCAGUCAGCCAGUCAAUCAGCCAUCCAGUCAGCAAGUCAGCCAUCCAGUCAGCCAGUCAGCCAUCCAGUCAGCCAGUCAGCCAGCCAGGUCAGUCAGUCAGUCAGUCAGCCAUCCAGUCAGCCAGCCAGUCAGUCAGUCAGUCAGUCAGCCAUCCAGUCAGCCAGUCAACCAGUCAGCCAGCCAACCAGUCAGCCAGCUAGCCAUUCAGCCAUCCGGUCAGUCAGUCAGCCAGUCAAUCAGCCAUCCAGUCAGCCAGUCAGUCAGUCAGCCAGUCAAUCAGCCAUCCAGUCAGCAAGUCAGCCAGCCAGUCAGCCAGUCAGCAAGUCAGCCAGCCAGCCAGCCAGUCAGUCAGCCAUCCAGCCAGCCAGUCAGUCAGUCAGUCAGUCAGUCAGUCAGUCAGCCAUCCAGUCAGCCAGUCAACCAGUCAGCCAGCCAUCCAGUCAGACAGUCAGACAGUCAGUCCUCCUACUUUAUCACCUUAGGUCAGGUCUUACCACCAGGAAC
This 2097-nucleotide long non-coding RNA is filed under the name Salmo salar (Atlantic salmon). RNAcentral describes it as "lncRNA (ENSSSAG00000094182.1)". The record is from RNAcentral. Lineage: Eukaryota; Metazoa; Chordata; Actinopteri; Salmoniformes; Salmonidae.